UUUUCCAUGAUGAUAAAUGUAUAUCCCAGCUCAUUAUGAGGCCUUUUAUAAGGUCAGGGAAUAGAUUUUUUUCCAACAUUUAUCUGAGCCCACAA
Molecule: small nucleolar RNA, 95 nt
Organism: Ziziphus jujuba (common jujube)
Lineage: Eukaryota; Viridiplantae; Streptophyta; Magnoliopsida; Rosales; Rhamnaceae
Source: RefSeq, a predicted model, not a curated record